GAAUUGGACGGCGAGGAUGACGUCGUUGAUGAUCCCGAGAAAGGCGACAGUGAAGUGGAGGAAGAUGGAGAUGAUGAUGAAGAUGAUGAUGACGACGAUGACGAUGAGGAUGAUGAUGAUGACGAUGAUGAGGUGGAUGAGCAGGAGGUGUUGCACACCGCUGGUGGACCGCCGGUUCAGUCGGUAGAUGAUGAAGAUGAAGAUGAGGAGGGGGAGGAUGAUGAGGAUGAUGAUGGCGAUGACGAUGACGACGACGAUGACGAUGAUGACGAAGGCGAUGAUGAGGAAGCUGAAGAGGUUAUUCACUUCUCAAUUUAACUAUGUGUUUCUGUUUAUUAAGCUCUAGAAUUCGAUUAAAUUGUGUUUUUCUUAAUUUAUGUGGUGAAUUAUUGUUUUUGAUUCGGUAUGAAAUUUUGCAGAUCUGGUGAAAAUAG
RNAcentral lists this long non-coding RNA (434 nucleotides) under Daucus carota (carrot). RNAcentral's name for it is "long non-coding RNA (DCAR_LNC000533)". Lineage: Eukaryota; Viridiplantae; Streptophyta; Magnoliopsida; Apiales; Apiaceae. The record is from RNAcentral.